CCUACGGGUGGCAGCAGUGGGGAAUAUUGGACAAUGGGCGAAAGCCUGAUCCAGCCAUGCCGCGUGUGUGAAGAAGGCCUUCGGGUUGUAAAGCACUUUCAGUGGGGAAGAAAGCCUUGGGGCUAAUACCCUCGAGGAAGGACAUCACCCACAGAAGAAGCACCGGCUAACUCCGUGCCAGCAGCCGCGGUAAUACGGAGGGUGCGAGCGUUAAUCGGAAUUACUGGGCGUAAAGCGCGCGUAGGCGGUCUGAUAAGCCGGUUGUGAAAGCCCCGGGCUCAACCUGGGAACGGCAUCCGGAACUGUCAGGCUAGAGUGCAGGAGAGGAAGGUAGAAUUCCCGGUGUAGCGGUGAAAUGCGUAGAGAUCGGGAGGAAUACCAGUGGCGAAGGCGGCCUUCUGGACUGACACUGACGCUGAGGUGCGAAAGCGUGGGUAGCAAACAGGAUUGAUACCCUGGUAGUC
RNAcentral lists this ribosomal RNA (464 nucleotides) under Vreelandella stevensii. RNAcentral's name for it is "partial 16S ribosomal RNA". It matches the Rfam family "Bacterial small subunit ribosomal RNA", at positions 338 to 795 of the family's 1533-position model. The record is from RNAcentral. Lineage: Bacteria; Pseudomonadati; Pseudomonadota; Gammaproteobacteria; Oceanospirillales; Halomonadaceae.